RNAcentral lists this ribosomal RNA (278 nucleotides) under uncultured bacterium. Its description in RNAcentral is "partial 16S ribosomal RNA". It matches the Rfam family "Bacterial small subunit ribosomal RNA", at positions 28 to 303 of the family's 1533-position model. The record is from RNAcentral.
GAUGAACGCUAGCGGCAGGCCUAAUACAUGCAAGCCGAACGGCAAGAUUGAUAGCAAUAUUGAUCCUAGAGUGGCGUAAGGGUGCGUAACACGUAUGCAAUCUACCCUCAACAGGAGGAUAGCUCCCCGAAAGGGGAAUUAAGACUCCAUAAGAUCAUUUGGUGGCAUCAUUGAAUGAUUAAACUUCCAGGGGUUGAGGAUGAGCAUGCGCCNGAUUAGUUAGUUGGCGGGGUAAGGGCCCACCAAGACGAUGAUCAGUAGGGGAACUGAGAGGUUGA